This 254-nucleotide ribosomal RNA is filed under the name uncultured bacterium. Its description in RNAcentral is "partial 16S ribosomal RNA". It matches the Rfam family "Bacterial small subunit ribosomal RNA", at positions 524 to 776 of the family's 1533-position model. The record is from RNAcentral.
UACGUAGGGUGCAAGCGUUGUCCGGAAUUAUUGGGCGUAAAGAGCUCGUAGGCGGUGUGUCGCGUCGGCCGUGAAAACCUGCAGCUUAACUGUGGGCUUGCGGUCGAUACGGGCAUCACUGGAGUUCGGCAGGGGAGAGUGGAAUUUCGUGUGUAGGGGUGAAAUCCGUAGAUCUACGAAGGAACGCCAAAAGCGAAGGCAGCUCUCUGGGUCCCUACCGACGCUGGGGUGCGAAAGCAUGGGGAGCGAACAGG